AUGAACAGCUGCUGCAGCUUCUCGUUACAGUAGUUGAUGCAGAACUGCUCGAAACUAUUUUGAGGGAAGAUUUCGAAGC
This is a long non-coding RNA of Aricia agestis (brown argus), 79 nucleotides long. RefSeq lists it as uncharacterized. The transcript has 4 exons. Lineage: Eukaryota; Metazoa; Arthropoda; Insecta; Lepidoptera; Lycaenidae. The record is from RefSeq and is a predicted model, not a curated record.